Bombus terrestris (buff-tailed bumblebee) is the source of this 799-nucleotide long non-coding RNA. RefSeq lists it as uncharacterized. The transcript has 2 exons. The record is from RefSeq and is a predicted model, not a curated record. NCBI's taxonomy places the organism in Eukaryota, Metazoa, Arthropoda, Insecta, Hymenoptera, Apidae.
AACAGCUGGUCCCAGGGUCACUGGGUUCGUCCGUUGUGAAUGGACCCGUACUCGACGCAAAGAACUGGUGGUGGGGGUUCAAUCAUCGCAAUGAAUUACAACGAGCCAGUCACCGAGAGUGACUCACUACGCUGCUCUAGCCGCUGCAGCUCGAUAAAAGUCUUUUUCUUUGCCCUGCUCGUGCCGGAGGAAUUCGAGAGAGCCCCGGGGAGCAGAAAGAGAGGCGCUCAAGGAACGCCAACAGAAGCGGCCGCUUAUGAAUCAUCUGUGUACGCGGGCAAAAUGCUUCGGCGAGGGGACACACAGUACAGUCGGAGAACAAGAGGACUUUCGUUCGUCGCGACUGCCAACCUAACGGGAUUUCUAGUGCUCUUAAUGGCUCCCUGCUAACUCUUUGUUCCUGCGGUUGUAUAACUGAAUUUCGAGAUGGAAAUGGGAAAUUAGUACUAAUUGAGGAUUUUCGCUUUCGUUGGCGUAGGACUUUCUCAUCAUGGAACGGUCGGAUGAUCGGCGCUCGUGAGAACACACGUAAGACGCGUCCUAUGCAACCUAUGCAAUGUUCAACGAAGUAAUUAGGUGAUUGAACAAAAGACUGGCUGGUUAUUACGUCUAUGAAAGGCUUCUACGAAUUGCUCUCGAAAGCACGUUCCAUUAACCUAAGGCACAGUACAUAGAAACAUUUGAUGAAUCCACGGGAAAUAGCGUCAAGUAUUAGCAUGUUUCAGAAGAUGAAAAUAUAUUUUUCAACAUAUGAUAUCAAAGCUUGUAAAUAAUUUAAAUGUUACAUAUCAAAAUGAAA